GUAGGGAAUAUUGGGCAAUGGAUGCAAGUCUGACCCAGCCAUCCCGCGUGCCGGAAGAAGGCCCUCAGGGUUGUAAACGGCUUUUGACGGUGAAGAAUCGACAGGAUGCGUCCUGUUUUGACGGUAGCCGUUGAAUAAGCACCGGCUAACUCCGUGCCAGCAGCCGCGGUAAUACGAAGGGUGCAAGCGUUAAUCGGAAUUACUGGGCGUACAGCGCGCGUAGGUGGUGUUGUAAGUUGGAGGUGAAAUCCCCGGGCUCAACCUGGGAACUGCCUCCAAAACUGCAUGACUAGAGUACGGUAGAGGGGGAUGGAAUUCCGCGUGUAGCAGUGAAAUGCGUAGAUAUGCGGAGGAACACCGAUGGCGAAGGCAAUCCCCUGGACCUGUACUGACGCUCAUGCACGAAAGCGUGGGGAGCAAACAGGAUUAGAUACCCGAGUAGUCC
RNAcentral lists this ribosomal RNA (445 nucleotides) under uncultured bacterium. RNAcentral's name for it is "partial 16S ribosomal RNA". It matches the Rfam family "Bacterial small subunit ribosomal RNA", at positions 354 to 796 of the family's 1533-position model. The record is from RNAcentral.